Molecule: ribosomal RNA, 1112 nt
Filed under: human gut metagenome
Description: bacterial SSU rRNA
Rfam family: Bacterial small subunit ribosomal RNA
Source: RNAcentral
CGCGUGAGGGAUGGAGGCCUUCGGCUUUUAAACCUCUUUUAUCGGGGAGCAAGCGAGAGUGAGUUCAUCCGUUGAAUAAGCACCGGCUAACUACGUGCCAGCAGCCGCGGUAAUACGUAGGGUGCAAGCGUUAUCCGGAAUUAUUGGGCGUAAAGGGCUCGUAGGCGGUUCGUCGCGUCCGGUGUGAAAAUCCAUCGCUUAACGGUGGAUCCGCGCCGGGUACGGGCGGGCUUGAGUGCGGUAGGGGAGACUGGAAUUCCCGGUGUAACGGUGGAAUGUGUAGAUAUCGGGAAGAACACCAAUGGCGAAGGCAGGUCUCUGGGCCGUUACUGACGCUGAGGAGCGAAAGCGUGGGGAGCGAACAGGAUUAGAUACCCUGGUAGUCCACGCCGUAAACGGUGGAUGCUGGAUGUGGGGCCCGUUCCACGGGUUCCGUGUCGGAGCUAACGCGUUAAGCAUCCCGCCUGGGGAGUACGGCCGCAAGGCUAAAACUCAAAGAAAUUGACGGGGGCCCGCACAAGCGGCGGAGCAUGCGGAUUAAUUCGAUGCAACGCGAAGAACCUUACCUGGGCUUGACAUGUUCCCGACGGUCGUAGAGAUACGGCUUCCCUUCGGGGCGGGUUCACAGGUGGUGCAUGGUCGUCGUCAGCUCGUGUCGUGAGAUGUUGGGUUAAGUCCCGCAACGAGCGCAACCCUCGCCCCGUGUUGCCAGCGGAUUAUGCCGGGAACUCACGGGGGACCGCCGGGGUUAACUCGGAGGAAGGUGGGGAUGACGUCAGAUCAUCAUGCCCCUUACGUCCAGGGCUUCACGCAUGCUACAAUGGCCGGUACAACGGGAUGCAACGCGGCGACGCGGAGCGGAUCCCUGAAAACGGGUCUCAGUUCGGAUCGCAGUCUGCAACUCGACUGCGUGAAGGGCGGAUUCGCUAGUAAUCGCGAAUCAGCAACGUCGCGGUGAAUGCAUUCUCGGGGCUUGUAAACACCGCCCGUCAAGCAUGAAAAGGGGCAACACCCGAAAGCCGGUGGCUAAACCCUUGGUGGAAGGAACCCUCUAAGGUGAGCUUCUGAAUUGGACUAAUUUUAACAAGGUACCGUACCGGAAGGUGCGGUGG